RNAcentral lists this ribosomal RNA (460 nucleotides) under uncultured bacterium. RNAcentral describes it as "partial 16S ribosomal RNA". It matches the Rfam family "Bacterial small subunit ribosomal RNA", at positions 338 to 795 of the family's 1533-position model. The record is from RNAcentral.
CCUACGGGUGGCAGCAGUGAGGAAUAUUGGUCAAUGGGCGCAAGCCUGAACCAGCCAAGUAGCGUGAAGGAUGACGGCUCUACGGGUUGUAAACUUCUUUUAUAAAGGAAUAAAGUUAUGCACGUGUGUCUUUUUGUAUGUACUUUAUGAAUAAGGAUCGGCUAACUCCGUGCCAGCAGCCGCGGUAAUACGGAGGAUCCGAGCGUUAUCCGGAUUUAUUGGGUUUAAAGGGUGCGUAGAUGGGUUGUUAAGUCAGUUGUGAAAGUUUGGGGCUCAACCGUAAAAUUGCAUUUGAUACUGGAAGUCUUGAGGACAGUUGAGGUAGGCGGAAUGCGUGGUGUAGCGGUGAAAUGCUUAGAUAUCACGAAGAACUCCGAUUGCGAAGGCAGCUUACUAAUCUGCAACUGACAUUGAUGCACGAAAGUGUGGGGAUCAAACAGGAUUAGAUACCCGAGUAGUC